CCUACGGGUGGCUGCAGUGGGGAAUAUUGGACAAUGGGCGAAAGCCUGAUCCAGCCAUGCCGCGUGUGUGAAGAAGGCCUUCGGGUUGUAAAGCACUUUCAGUGGGGAAGAAAGCCUUGGGGCUAAUACCCUCGAGGAAGGACAUCACCCACAGAAGAAGCACCGGCUAACUCCGUGCCAGCAGCCGCGGUAAUACGGAGGGUGCGAGCGUUAAUCGGAAUUACUGGGCGUAAAGCGCGCGUAGGCGGUCUGAUAAGCCGGUUGUGAAAGCCCCGGGCUCAACCUGGGAACGGCAUCCGGAACUGUCAGGCUAGAGUGCAGGAGAGGAAGGUAGAAUUCCCGGUGUAGCGGUGAAAUGCGUAGAGAGCGGGAGGAAUACCAGUGGCGAAGGCGGCCUUCUGGACUGACACUGACGCUGAGGUGCGAAAGCGUGGGUAGCAAACAGGAUUAGAUACCCUUGUAGUC
RNAcentral lists this ribosomal RNA (465 nucleotides) under Vreelandella stevensii. RNAcentral describes it as "partial 16S ribosomal RNA". It matches the Rfam family "Bacterial small subunit ribosomal RNA", at positions 338 to 795 of the family's 1533-position model. Lineage: Bacteria; Pseudomonadati; Pseudomonadota; Gammaproteobacteria; Oceanospirillales; Halomonadaceae. The record is from RNAcentral.